RNAcentral lists this ribosomal RNA (608 nucleotides) under Mesomycoplasma hyopneumoniae. RNAcentral describes it as "bacterial SSU rRNA". It matches the Rfam family "Bacterial small subunit ribosomal RNA", at positions 257 to 864 of the family's 1533-position model. The record is from RNAcentral. Lineage: Bacteria; Bacillati; Mycoplasmatota; Mycoplasmoidales; Metamycoplasmataceae.
GUAAAAGCCUACCAAGACGAUGAUGUUUAGCGGGGCCAAGAGGUUGUACCGCCACACUGGGAUUGAGAUACGGCCCAGACUCCUACGGGAGGCAGCAGUAAGGAAUAUUCCACAAUAAGCGAAAGCUUGAUGGAGCGACACAGCGUGCAGGAUGAAGUCUUUCGGGAUGUAAACUGCUGUUGUAAGGGAAGAAAAAACUAGAUAGGAAAUGCUCUAGUCUUGACGGUACCUUAUUAGAAAGCGACGGCAAACUAUGUGCCAGCAGCCGCGGUAAUACAUAGGUCGCAAGCGUUAUCCGGAAUUAUUGGGCGUAAAGCGUCCGUAGGUUUUUUGUUAAGUUUAAAGUUAAAUGCUAAAGCUCAACUUUAGUCCGCUUUAGAUACUGGCAAAAUAGAAUUAUGAAGAGGUUAGCGGAAUUCCUAGUGGAGUGGUGGAAUACGUAGAUAUUAGGAAGAACACCAAUAGGCGAAGGCAGCUAACUGGUCAUAUAUUGACACUAAGGGACGAAAGCGUGGGGAGCAAACAGGAUUAGAUACCCUGGUAGUCCACGCCGUAAACGAUGAUCAUUAGUUGGUGGCAAAAGUCACUAACACAGCUAACGCGUUAAA